GGUCAAAGCCUAGGGUCAAAAGAGGAUCAAAAAGUCAAAACAGAACUUCAAACUUGACAUGAAGCAACUUCAAACACAUAUUGACAUAUCCUAAAAAGGCUCACAUCAAAAAAGGAUCAAAAAGUCAAAACAGAACUUCAAACUUGACAUGAAGCAACUUCAAACACAUAUUGACAUAUCCUAAAAAGGCUCACAUCAAAAUCAUUAACCAAAUUCAUUUCAUGAUCAAGUGAAGUCAAAGGCAAUUUCAAAGUUCAUAUGUGAUCAACAUGAAUG
Molecule: long non-coding RNA, 276 nt
Filed under: Lathyrus oleraceus (garden pea)
Lineage: Eukaryota; Viridiplantae; Streptophyta; Magnoliopsida; Fabales; Fabaceae
Description: Pisum sativum (pea) long non-coding RNA (PSAT_LNC027955)
Source: RNAcentral